AUAUGAGGCCCAGUUAGAGGCCUCACUAACCUGGGGAGGUUAGAUAUCCAUCCGGGUAGCGGACGCUCCGCCCCCUACUGGAGGAACGGCAUCCAGAGGCCGGGUUAUCAGCCCCGGUCGGAACCGUUUC
This 130-nucleotide non-coding RNA is filed under the name unclassified sequences. RNAcentral describes it as "LAGLIDADG-2 RNA". It matches the Rfam family "LAGLIDADG-2 RNA". From Rfam's summary of the family: Halobacteria (Archaea). Nearby to self-splicing intron genes The record is from Rfam by way of RNAcentral.